GAUGAACGCUAGCUACAGGCUUAACACAUGCAAGUCGAGGGGAAACGACAUCGAAAGCUUGCUUUUGAUGGGCGUCGACCGGCGCACGGGUGAGUAACGUGUAUCCAACCUGCCCAUCACUUGGGAAUAACCUUGCGAAAGUAAGACUAAUACCCAAUGACAUCCCACGAAGACAUCUGAAUGGGAUUAAAGAUUUAUCGGUGAUGGAUGGGGAUGCGUCUGAUUAGCUUGUUGGCGGGGUAACGGCCCACCAAGGCAACGAUCAGUAGGGGUUCUGAGAGGAAGGUCCCCCACAUUGGAACUGAGACACGGUCCAAACUCCUACGGGAGGCAGCAGUGAGGAAUAUUGGUCAAUGGGCGAGAGCCUGAACCAGCCAAGUAGCGUGCAGGAUGACGGCCCUAUGGGUUGUAAACUGCUUUUAUAAGGGAAUAAAGUGGGUCUCGUGAGACUUUUUGCAUGUACCUUAUGAAUAAGGACCGGCUAAUUCCGUG
Molecule: ribosomal RNA, 492 nt
Filed under: uncultured bacterium
Lineage: Bacteria
Description: partial 16S ribosomal RNA
Rfam family: Bacterial small subunit ribosomal RNA
Source: RNAcentral